CUUACAAACAGGAACGCUAUAACAUGGAAAAACCUCGUAAGGCUUUUGUGAUGUGUGUGAAGACAGGCAGACCAGGGGCUAAGCAGGAUAUGAAGAGAAUGAGAAACUGGCUUAAAGCGUGCAAGUUUGAAUGUACAUCUUGCAUCAAUCCUGAUGAAAAGGGGUUAAUGGAGAAAUUACGAGAGUUUCGAGAUGGAAUAAAUAAAA
Molecule: non-coding RNA, 207 nt
Organism: Phascolarctos cinereus (koala)
Lineage: Eukaryota; Metazoa; Chordata; Mammalia; Diprotodontia; Phascolarctidae
Source: RefSeq, a predicted model, not a curated record